UACGGAGGGUGCAAGCGUUAUCCGGAUUUACUGGGUUUAAAGGGUGCGUAAGUGGGUUGGUAAGUCAGUGGUGAAAUACUUUCGCUUAACGAAGGAACUGCCAUUGAUACUACCAGUCUUGAAUACAGUGGAGGUAGGCGGAAUGCGUCAUGUAGCGGUGAAAUGCUUAGAUAUGACGCAGAACACCAAUUGCGAAGGCAGCUUGCUACACUGUUAUUGACACUGAGGCACGAAAGCGUGGGGAUCAAACAGG
RNAcentral lists this ribosomal RNA (253 nucleotides) under uncultured bacterium. Its description in RNAcentral is "partial 16S ribosomal RNA". It matches the Rfam family "Bacterial small subunit ribosomal RNA", at positions 524 to 776 of the family's 1533-position model. The record is from RNAcentral.